AUGCUUGUUAGUGAGGUCCACCUUAAUAAGCUCACCGAUGAUGACAUUGUUUGGAAGCAUAUGACUAGGGGACACUACUCGGCGGCUUCCUCCUAUAAGGCGCAAUUCCUUGGCAUGGUUCUCUCCCCCAUGGACCAAAUUGUUUGGAAAGUUUGGGCGCCACCGAAAUUUAAAUUCUUUGCUUGGUUGGCAAUCCAAGAUAGAAUUUGA
This 210-nucleotide ribosomal RNA is filed under the name Triticum aestivum (bread wheat). Its description in RNAcentral is "partial small subunit ribosomal RNA". Lineage: Eukaryota; Viridiplantae; Streptophyta; Magnoliopsida; Poales; Poaceae. The record is from RNAcentral.